CCUACGGGAGGCAGCAGUGGGGAAUAUUGGACAAUGGGGGGAACCCUGAUCCAGCGACGCCGCGUGAGUGAAGAAGUAUUUCGGUAUGUAAAGCUCUAUCAGCAGGGAAGAAAGAAAUGACGGUACCUGACUAAGAAGCCCCGGCUAACUACGUGCCAGCAGCCGCGGUAAUACGUAGGGGGCAAGCGUUAUCCGGAUUUACUGGGUGUAAAGGGAGCGUAGACGGCGAUGCAAGUCUGAAGUGAAAGGCGGGGGCCUAACCCCUGGACUGCUUUGGAUACUGUAUGGCUGGAGUGCAGGAGAGGUAAGUGGAAUGCCUAGUGUAGCGGUGAAAUGCGUAGAUAUUAGGAGGAACACCAGUGGCGAAGGCGGCUUACUGGACUGUAACUGACGUUGAGGCUCGAAAGCGUGGGGAGCAAACAGGAUUAGAUACCCUUGUAGUC
This 443-nucleotide ribosomal RNA is filed under the name uncultured bacterium. RNAcentral describes it as "partial 16S ribosomal RNA". It matches the Rfam family "Bacterial small subunit ribosomal RNA", at positions 338 to 795 of the family's 1533-position model. The record is from RNAcentral.